GAGAGAGGCUUGCCAGCAACGAAGACUGCUAACCCUCGUCCCCUCGGUUGGAUUCCGAAGCUCCCUCG
This 68-nucleotide transfer RNA is filed under the name Bostrychus sinensis (four-eyed sleeper). Its description in RNAcentral is "tRNA-Ser". Lineage: Eukaryota; Metazoa; Chordata; Actinopteri; Gobiiformes; Eleotridae. The record is from RNAcentral. RNAcentral also lists the same sequence under 1 other name.